This is an RNA transcript of Carassius auratus (goldfish), 2285 nucleotides long. It is a transcript of the gene named lipoprotein lipase, with no coding region annotated. The record is from RefSeq and is a predicted model, not a curated record. The transcript has 11 exons. NCBI's taxonomy places the organism in Eukaryota, Metazoa, Chordata, Actinopteri, Cypriniformes, Cyprinidae.
UUCGAGCAGCAGCAGGUUCACGGAUAAAUAACACACGGAGCUUCCGUUAGCUCGUUAUACCGAGAUUAUUAGCUUACAAAUAUUUAUUUAUAUUGUACUCUGCAAUUAUUAAUAAUAAUUUCUUUAUUCUGUACUAUGGGAACAGAAAGUUUCUGGCUGCUGCUUAUCGGAUUUUCUCUUAUUGCGAGCGACCCAAUCUCCAACUCUACUGAAGUGUUUGCUAGUAAUUCCUCUGAGCUGACGGUGGACUACAGGGACAUCAGGUCCAAGUUCUCCAUCAGAAACCCAGAGUUCCCUGACGAGGAUCUUUGCUAUCUCGUCCCAGGACAACGGGACUCUAUUUCUGACUGCAACUUUAAAAAUGAUUCCCAAACCUUCCUCAUUAUCCACGGAUGGUCGGUGGCGGGUUUGUUUGAGAGCUGGGUCUUUAAGCUGGUGUCGGCUCUGUUUGAACGUGAACCCAGAGCCAAUGUUAUUGUUGUGGACUGGCUGGAUCGGGCCAACAAGCACUACCCCAAAUCAGCAGAAAACACCGGGCUGGUGGGGGCAGACGUGGCCAGGUUUGUCAACUGGCUGGAGGAGAUGGACUAUCCUCUGGAGAAAGUGCAUCUGUUAGGCUACAGUCUCGGCGCACAUGUGGCCGGCGUCGCAGGAAACCUCACCAACAACAAAGUCAACAGAAUCACAGGUCUGGACCCCGCGGGCCCCAGCUUUGAGAACGCUGAGAGUCUGAGGCGUCUGUCACCUGAUGAUGCCUCUUUUGUAGACGUCCUGCACACAAACACCAGAGGCUCGCCGGACCUCAGCAUCGGCAUCCAGAGACCCGUGGGUCACGUGGACAUUUACCCCAACGGAGGCACCUUCCAGCCGGGCUGCAGCAUCCAGAACACCAUGAAGCUCAUCGCCACCUACGGCAUUUACAACAUGGAUCAGAUCGUCAAAUGCUCUCACGAGCGCUCCAUUCACCUGUUCAUCGACUCGCUGGUGAACCGGGCGUACCAGAGCUGGGCGUAUCGCUGCAGCUCCAGAGACGCCUUCAACAAGGGCCUGUGUCUGAGCUGCCGCAAGAACCGCUGCAACAAACUGGGCUACGCCGUCAACAAGAUCCGCAGCGCCAGGAGCGCAAAGAUGUUCCUCAAGACCCGCGACAUGAUGCCGUUUAAGGUGUUUCAUUAUCAGAUCAAACUGCAUCUGUUCAGCGACAAAAACAUGACUUUGCUGGAGCAGCCGAUGAAAGUGUCUCUGUUCGGGACGACCGAUGAGAAGGACGACAUCGCUGUCACUGUGCCCAGCGUGAGCACCAACAGCACCGUCUCGUUCCUGCUGACGUCUGACAGAGACAUCGGCGAGCUGCUGAUGCUGAGCUUACACUGGGAGAAAGAUUCGUAUCUCUACGGCUUCUUCAGCACCAAUCAGUUCACCAUCCGCAAAAUCAGGGUCAAAUCUGGAGAAACACAGUCCAAGCUAAUAUUCAGACCCAGAGAAGGAGCGUUUGGUUCACUGGUUCAAGGUGGAGACGCUGUUGUGUUUGUGAAGUCGAGCGAGACGCCGCAGAGCAGGAGACAGCAGAGGCAGCACAGACUGAAACAUCUCGGGAGCUUCUUCAAACAGAGCAUCAACGAAGCAACCGCAGACAUGAGUAAAGAACCGGAGUUACUUCAUGAUGAAGCGACAGAGAUCAUGACAGAAGCCACCGCGCAGAUCAACGCUACAAACACUUUGUGAUUUUAUUAAUGCCAUCUGCACCAGAUGUACUGCAUCUGAACAGAUUUCAUUCGAUGUGACUUGCAGAAGCGAGCUGCAUCAGUCUGGAAAGCAGUGAAGAGGUUAAAAAGCAGACAAAGAGAUGCUCUGAACUAUGUUUGUUGCUCAGAUGGAUGAUGGAUGUCUCUGUCUCUGUCUGUUAGUGAUUGGUCAAAUGAAGGGGUGUGAAUGUCUGACCUGUACACGCUUAAAGAUACAGCUUAUUGGCAUCUGGAGAAGAUUGUGAUUCUGAGGACCAUUGCUGGGUUUUGCUCAGCAGAGAUUUCACCAGUUGUGACUUUCGUUGGCAGUUCACUUUAGUUUUCACAACGGUCAGUCAAGCGAUUUCACAUUUUGAUGUGUCUGCUCCUCGUAACCCUUUCACACAGUAAACGUCUCAUCUGCAUGUCAAGGUUAAACUGUGUCUGCGAAGUCCUGUCUCAGUCAGAAAUAAAGAUCUGACGUCUCACUAUGAACAACAGCAUGCAGAACAUACAGACAACAACAGCCUCACACUCCACACUUGUUAAUUGAAAUAAAGC